This 429-nucleotide ribosomal RNA is filed under the name uncultured Treponema sp. Its description in RNAcentral is "bacterial SSU rRNA". It matches the Rfam family "Bacterial small subunit ribosomal RNA", at positions 355 to 776 of the family's 1533-position model. Lineage: Bacteria; Pseudomonadati; Spirochaetota; Spirochaetia; Treponematales; Treponemataceae. The record is from RNAcentral.
CUAAGAAUAUUCCGCAAUGGACGAAAGUCUGACGGAGCGACGCCGCGUGGAUGAAGAAGGCCGAAAGGUUGUAAAGUCCUUUUGUCGACGAAGAAUAAGUGGGGGAGGGAAUGCCCUCAUGAUGACGUUAGUCGGCGAAUAAGCCCCGGCUAAUUACGUGCCAGCAGCCGCGGUAACACGUAAGGGGCAAGCGUUGUUCGGAAUUAUUGGGCGUAAAGGGUGCGUAGGCGGUCCUGUAAGCCCGGCGUGAAAUACUGGAGCUCAACUCCAGAACGGCGCUGGGAACUGCAAGACUUGAGUCAUGGAAGGGAAGUUAGAAUUCCAGGUGUAGGGGUGAAAUCUGUAGAUAUCUGGAAGAAUACCGGUGGCGAAGGCGAACUUCUGGCCAAUGACUGACGCUGAGGCACGAAAGCGUGGGGAGCAAACAGG